This 235-nucleotide ribosomal RNA is filed under the name uncultured Glomus. RNAcentral describes it as "partial 18S ribosomal RNA". It matches the Rfam family "Eukaryotic small subunit ribosomal RNA", at positions 548 to 785 of the family's 1831-position model. Lineage: Eukaryota; Fungi; Glomeromycota; Glomeromycetes; Glomerales; Glomeraceae. The record is from RNAcentral.
UUGGAGGGCAAGUCUGGUGCCCGCAGCCGCGGUAAUUCCAGCUCCAAUAGCGUAUAUUAAAGUUGUUGCAGUUAAAAAGCUCGUAGUUGAAUUUCGGGAUCAACUUACUGGUCGUGCCUAUGGUACGCACUGGUUUUGUUGGUUUCUCCCUUCUGACGAAUCACGAUGUCAUUAAUUUGAUGUCCUGGGGAAUCAGGACUGUUACUUUGAAGAAAUUAGAGUGUUUAAAGCAGGC